UGGUGACUACGCGAUCAGAUGGAUUGCCUAAGAGAGACGCCUCUACAUGGACAGAUCGUCCCUGUAUCGAUGUCUCUCUUAGCCAAUCAUGCUCGUCGCGUAGGGCCA
RNAcentral lists this microRNA precursor (108 nucleotides) under Physcomitrium patens. RNAcentral's name for it is "Physcomitrella patens miR1049b stem-loop (ppt-MIR1049b)". Lineage: Eukaryota; Viridiplantae; Streptophyta; Bryopsida; Funariales; Funariaceae. The record is from miRBase by way of RNAcentral.